Molecule: ribosomal RNA, 776 nt
Filed under: uncultured Neocallimastigales
Lineage: Eukaryota; Fungi; Neocallimastigomycota; Neocallimastigomycetes; Neocallimastigales
Description: partial large subunit ribosomal RNA
Rfam family: Eukaryotic large subunit ribosomal RNA
Source: RNAcentral
UAUCUCUGUAGAGUCUGCAUAUCAAUAAGCGGAGGAAAAGAAACUAACUAGGAUUCCCCUAGUAACGGCGAGUGAAGCGGGAAGAGCUCAAAUUUGAAAUCUUCAAGGUUUGACCUUGACGAAUUGUAGUUUAAAGAAGUGUUUUCUGCUAGAGGAGUUGGUAAAAGUUCUUUGGAAUAGGACAUCAUAGAGGGUGAGAAUCCCGUAUUUGACUAUUCUUUCUAGCUUUGUGAUACACUUUCAAAGAGUCGGAUUGUUUGGGAAUGCAGUCCAAAAUGGGUGGUAAAUUUCAUCUAAAGCUAAAUAUUGGCGAGAGACCGAUAGCGAACAAGUACCGUGAGGGAAAGAUGAAAAGAACUUUGAAAAGAGAGUUAAACAGUACGUGAAAUUGUCAAAAGGGAAGCGUUUGACACCAGUGUUGUUUUUCCGAAAAUCAAUUAAAAAUGGAUUCAUGCUAAGUUGUAUUGACCUUAUCAGCUUGCAAUUUAGUUUUGGGUUUCUUUUUGAUGCACUUUUCGGUUAACAAGUCAACAUCAAUUUCCUUUGCUGUAAAAAGGCAGGAGGAAGGUGGCUUCAAUUUCGGUUGAAGUGUUUAUAGCCUUCUGUCUCUGCAGUCGGGGAGAUUGAGGUCUGCAGGCGUAGAUCCUUCGGGGCUAGAUACAUUCGUGCUAAGUUAUAGCCCUUUAUAGACAACUUGUUGACUAUGAUUGGUCUUGUAAUUUACUCGCGAGUGCUAUUUUACCUACGCUUAGGAUGUUGAUCUACAGAGCGAGAGU